AAGGAAAACCCCCACUAUCUUUCUUACGAACUUGGCGGAACGACGAAAGAUAGUGGGGGCCUCACAGAAUACGGGUAAAGUAUAAUGAAACCGUACCAGAGAUUCAACCCUGUGCA
Molecule: non-coding RNA, 116 nt
Filed under: Escherichia coli
Lineage: Bacteria; Pseudomonadati; Pseudomonadota; Gammaproteobacteria; Enterobacterales; Enterobacteriaceae
Description: PK-repZ
Rfam family: Pseudoknot of the regulatory region of the repZ gene
Source: RNAcentral